This 253-nucleotide ribosomal RNA is filed under the name uncultured bacterium. RNAcentral's name for it is "partial 16S ribosomal RNA". It matches the Rfam family "Bacterial small subunit ribosomal RNA", at positions 524 to 776 of the family's 1533-position model. The record is from RNAcentral.
UACGUAGGGUGCUAGCGUUGUUCGGAAUCAUUGGGCGUAAAGCGCGUGUAGGUUGCUUGCUAAGUCGGUUGUGAAAUCCCUGGGCUCAACCCAGGAAGUGCAUUCGAAACUAGCUAGCUAGAAGAUGGUAGAGGAAGGUGGAAUUCCAAGUGUAGAGGUGAAAUUCGUAGAUAUUUGGAGGAAUACCUGAGGCGAAGGCGGCCUUCUGGACCAUUCUUGACACUGAGACGCGAAAGCCAGGGGAGCAAACGGG